GCUGGCGGUAGGCCUAACACAUGCAAGUCGAACGGCAGCACAGAGGAGCUUGCUCCUUGGGUGGCGAGUGGCGGACGGGUGAGGAAUACAUCGGAAUCUACUCUGUCGUGGGGGAUAACGUAGGGAAACUUACGCUAAUACCGCAUACGACCUACGGGUGAAAGCAGGGGAUCUUCGGACCUUGCGCGAUUGAAUGAGCCGAUGUCGGAUUAUCUAGUUGGCGGGGUAAAGGCCCACCAAGGCGACGAUCCGUAGCUGGUCUGAGAGGAUGAUCAGCCACACUGGAACUGAGACACGGUCCAGACUCCUACGGGAGGCAGCAGUGGGGAAUAUUGGACAAUGGGCGCAAGCCUGAUCCACCCAUACCGCGUGGGUGAAGAAGGCCUUCUGGUUGUAAAGCCCUUUUGUUCGGGAAAGAAAUCCC
This 424-nucleotide ribosomal RNA is filed under the name Stenotrophomonas maltophilia. Its description in RNAcentral is "bacterial SSU rRNA". It matches the Rfam family "Bacterial small subunit ribosomal RNA", at positions 35 to 455 of the family's 1533-position model. The record is from RNAcentral. Lineage: Bacteria; Pseudomonadati; Pseudomonadota; Gammaproteobacteria; Lysobacterales; Lysobacteraceae.